GACGAACGCUGGCGGCGUGCCUAAUACAUGCAAGUAGAACGCUGAAGAGAGGAGCUUGCUCUUCUUGGAUGAGUUGCGAACGGGUGAGUAACGCGUAGGUAACCUGCCUUGUAGCGGGGGAUAACUAUUGGAAACGAUAGCUAAUACCGCAUAACAAUGGAUGACCCAUGUCAUUUAUUUGAAAGGGGCAAAUGCUCCACUACAAGAUGGACCUGCGUUGUAUUAGCUAGUAGGUGAGGUAACGGCUCACCUAGGCGACGAUACAUAGCCGACCUGAGAGGGUGAUCGGCCACACUGGGAAUGGGACACGGCCCAGACUCCUACGGGAGGCAGCAGUAGGGAAUCUUCGGCAAUGGGGGCAACCCUGACCGAGCAACGCCGCGUGAGUGAAGAAGGUUUUCGGAUCGUAAAGCUCUGUUGUAAGUCAAGAACGAGUGUGAGAGUGGAAAGUUCACACUGUGACGGUAGCUUACCAGAAAGGGACGGCUAACUACGUG
Molecule: ribosomal RNA, 497 nt
Filed under: uncultured bacterium
Lineage: Bacteria
Description: partial 16S ribosomal RNA
Rfam family: Bacterial small subunit ribosomal RNA
Source: RNAcentral